Molecule: transfer RNA, 77 nt
Filed under: Pseudomonadota bacterium
Lineage: Bacteria; Pseudomonadati; Pseudomonadota
Also listed under: 1 other name
Description: tRNA-Pro
Rfam family: tRNA
About the family: Transfer RNA (tRNA) molecules are approximately 80 nucleotides in length. Their secondary structure includes four short double-helical elements and three loops (D, anti-codon, and T loops).
Source: RNAcentral
CGGAGCGUAGCGCAGUCUGGUAGCGCACCUGCUUUGGGAGCAGGGGGUCGGGGGUUCGAAUCCCUCCGCUCCGACCA